GAUGAAGAACGUAGCGAAAUGCGAUACUUGGUGUGAAUUGCAGAAUCCCGUGAACCAUCGAGUCUUUGAACGCAAGUUGCGCCCGAAGCCAUUAGGCCGAGGGCACGCCUGCCUGGGCGUCACACGUCGUUGCCCCCCCACCUACUCCUUCGGGAUUGCGGGGGGCGGAUGAUGGCCUCUCGUGCGCCUCGUCGCGCGGUUGGCCUAAAUGCCAAGUCCUCGGCGACGCACGCCACGACAAUCGGUGGUUGCGAAACCUCGGUUGCCUGUCGUGUGCGGUCGUCGCGCAUCGAGGGCUCGAAAAAAUUGCCGGGCUUCGGCUCGACUUUCAACGCGACCCCAGGUCAGGCGGGGUUACCCGCUGAAUUUAAGCAUAUCAAUAAGCGGAGGA
This 391-nucleotide unclassified non-coding RNA is filed under the name soil metagenome. Its description in RNAcentral is "partial contains 5.8S ribosomal RNA, internal transcribed spacer 2, and large subunit ribosomal RNA". The stretch from base 1 to 122 matches the Rfam family "5.8S ribosomal RNA", at positions 35 to 154 of the family's 154-position model. The record is from RNAcentral.